This 712-nucleotide ribosomal RNA is filed under the name Luteimonas sp. Its description in RNAcentral is "bacterial SSU rRNA". It matches the Rfam family "Bacterial small subunit ribosomal RNA", at positions 56 to 759 of the family's 1533-position model. The record is from RNAcentral. Lineage: Bacteria; Pseudomonadati; Pseudomonadota; Gammaproteobacteria; Lysobacterales; Lysobacteraceae.
UGCAGUCGACGGCAGCACAGGGGAGCUUGCUCCCUGGGUGGCGAGUGGCGGACGGGUGAGGAAUACGUCGGAAUCUGCCUUUUUGUGGGGGAUAACGUAGGGAAACUUACGCUAAUACCGCAUACGACCUUCGGGUGAAAGUGGGGGACCGCAAGGCCUCACGCAGAUAGAUGAGCCGACGUCGGAUUAGCUAGUUGGCGGGGUAAAGGCCCACCAAGGCGACGAUCCGUAGCUGGUCUGAGAGGAUGAUCAGCCACACUGGAACUGAGACACGGUCCAGACUCCUACGGGAGGCAGCAGUGGGGAAUAUUGGACAAUGGGCGCAAGCCUGAUCCAGCCAUGCCGCGUGGGUGAAGAAGGCCUUCGGGUUGUAAAGCCCUUUUGUUGGGAAAGAAAACUUUCCGAUUAAUACUCGGAGAGAAUGACGGUACCCAAAGAAUAAGCACCGGCUAACUUCGUGCCAGCAGCCGCGGUAAUACGAAGGGUGCAAGCGUUACUCGGAAUUACUGGGCGUAAAGCGUGCGUAGGUGGUUCGUUAAGUCUGAUGUGAAAGCCCUGGGCUCAACCUGGGAAUUGCAUUGGAUACUGGCGGGCUAGAGUACGGUAGAGGGUAGUGGAAUUCCUGGUGUAGCAGUGAAAUGCGUAGAGAUCAGGAGGAACAUCCGUGGCGAAGGCGACUACCUGGACCAGUACUGACACUGAGGCACGAAAG